Aphis gossypii (cotton aphid) is the source of this 738-nucleotide long non-coding RNA. RefSeq lists it as uncharacterized. NCBI's taxonomy places the organism in Eukaryota, Metazoa, Arthropoda, Insecta, Hemiptera, Aphididae. The record is from RefSeq and is a predicted model, not a curated record. The transcript is spliced from 3 exons.
UCUGCAGUAUAAAAUAAAUUUAACUCGUCUAUAAUAUAAAGAAUUCAUAAUUUAUAUUUGCAUUUCACAUUUGACUUGGUAUUCAUAAAAUAUAAUUUUGAUUAAUCAUAUUUAAUUCGAGUAUCUACCUUUCUUUUGGCAUUCCAGCAUCCUAUUCUAAUAGUAAGCAAUAUUGAACAAUUGUUUAAAUUGUGCUAUUUCAAUUGUGCUUAAUCUAUUCAAGAUGCAUUUUUUUCAAAAAGUAAAGACAUGGUCUUCAGCUUCAUAUUCGUUUAUUCAACGGUUACUAGGAAUCCUGUGUUUAUUCAUUCUGGACAACAAACACAUGACGAUGAUAUAUAUCUCGACCAACGUCUGGCUGCUAUACGUGGCACGUCUGAUCGCUGGAUCUGUCAUAUUUUUUUUCAAGUCGUCUCUACUGGCACUAAGGGCCGGUCAGGUUAGGUUAGGAGUCAGGUUAGGAGUCCUCCAGACUCGACCGCAUGUGGCCUCGGCUCGGCCGCCACCGGCUGUCCCGGCCCGCCAGAUGCUCCUCACCUUCGCGUGACAUCUAUACGGGGAUAGUAUAAAAACAUAAAAAACAAUAAUCGAGGUUAAUGGUGGUAAAGUUUGGGUUAGGUUAGGUAUUUUUUGAUGUUGUUCAUCAUUCAAUAGCCAAUUUGUAAAUGCAGGUGUAUGAAAUAGUGCCUAUACAUAUUUACAAAAAUAAAAUAAAAUAUGUAUACUUUAAUAACAUAA